This 465-nucleotide ribosomal RNA is filed under the name uncultured bacterium. RNAcentral's name for it is "partial 16S ribosomal RNA". It matches the Rfam family "Bacterial small subunit ribosomal RNA", at positions 338 to 795 of the family's 1533-position model. The record is from RNAcentral.
CCUACGGGAGGCAGCAGUAGGGAAUCUUCCACAAUGGGCGAAAGCCUGAUGGAGCAACGCCGCGUGGGUGAAGAAGGUCUUCGGAUCGUAAAACCCUGUUGUUAGAGAAGAAAGUGCGUGAGAGUAACUGUUCACGUUUCGACGGUAUCUAACCAGAAAGCCACGGCUAACUACGUGCCAGCAGCUGCGGUAAUACGUAGGUGGCAAGCGUUAUCCGGAUUUAUUGGGCGUAAAGGGAACGCAGGCGGUCUUUUAAGUCUGAUGUGAAAGCCUUCGGCUUAACCGGAGUAGUGCAUUGGAGACUGGGAGACUUGAGUGCAGAAGAGGAGAGUGGAACUCCAUGUGUAGCGGUGAAAUGCGUAGAUAUAUGGAAGAACACCAGUGGCGAAAGCGGCUCUCUAGUCUGUAACUGACGCUGAGGUUCGAAAGCGUGGGUAGCAAACAGGAUUAGAUACCCCAGUAGUC